RNAcentral lists this ribosomal RNA (482 nucleotides) under uncultured bacterium. RNAcentral's name for it is "partial 16S ribosomal RNA". It matches the Rfam family "Bacterial small subunit ribosomal RNA", at positions 28 to 523 of the family's 1533-position model. The record is from RNAcentral.
GACGAACGCUGGCGGCACGCUUAACACAUGCAAGUCGAACGGAGUUAAUUGGAGCUUGCUUUGAUUAACUUAGUGGCGGACGGGUGAGUAACACGUGAGCAACCUGCCUUUAAGAGAGGAAUAACAGUCUGAAAAGACUGCUAAUACCUCAUAACAUAACGAAGCCGCAUGACUUUGUUAUCGUAGAUUUAUCGCUUAAAGACGGGCUCGCGUCUGAUUAGCUUGUUGGUGAGGUAACGGCCCACCAAGGCGACGAUCAGUAGCCGUACUGAGAGGUAGAUCGGCCACAUUGGGACUGAGACACGGCCCAGACUCCUACGGGAGGCAGCAGUGGGGAAUAUUGCACAAUGGAGGAAACUCUGAUGCAGCGAUGCCGCGUGAGGGAAGAAGGUUUUCGGAUUGUAAACCUCUGUCUUCAGGGACGAUAAUGACGGUACCUGAGGAGGAAGCUCCGGCUAACUACGUGCCAGCCGCCGCAGUAA